This 385-nucleotide ribosomal RNA is filed under the name uncultured bacterium. RNAcentral's name for it is "bacterial SSU rRNA". It matches the Rfam family "Bacterial small subunit ribosomal RNA", at positions 30 to 417 of the family's 1533-position model. The record is from RNAcentral.
AGCGAACGCUGGCGGCAUGCCUUACACAUGCAAGUCGAACGGUAACGCGGGGCAACCUGGCGACGAGUGGCGAACGGGUGAGUAAUGCAUCGGAACGUGCCCAGUAGUGGGGGAUAGCCCGGCGAAAGCCGGAUUAAUACCGCAUACGACCUACGGGUGAAAGCGGGGGACCGUAAGGCCUCGCGCUAUUGGAGCGGCCGAUGUCAGAUUAGGUAGUUGGUGGGGUAAAGGCCUACCAAGCCUACGAUCUGUAGCUGGUCUGAGAGGACGACCAGCCACACUGGGACUGAGACACGGCCCAGACUCCUACGGGAGGCAGCAGUGGGGAAUUUUGGACAAUGGGCGCAAGCCUGAUCCAGCCAUGCCGCGUGCGGGAAGAAGGCCU